UAAUAAUUGAUACAAUGCAAUAACUCGAUCGACGACGCAUUUUAGACUCCAAAUCCAAACCAAAAUAAAUGUAAAAAUCAUAUCUCUAA
This is a long non-coding RNA of Sinocyclocheilus grahami, 89 nucleotides long. RefSeq lists it as uncharacterized. The record is from RefSeq and is a predicted model, not a curated record. Lineage: Eukaryota; Metazoa; Chordata; Actinopteri; Cypriniformes; Cyprinidae. The transcript has 3 exons.